GGCGAGAUGGCCGGGUGGUCUAAGGCACCAGACUGGGGGGGCACACAGGUGUCCAAUCCCUUCCUCUCCCGAGUUAUCUGGUCUUUCGAGGCGUGGGUUGGAAUCCCACUCUCAUCA
This 117-nucleotide transfer RNA is filed under the name Leucoagaricus sp. SymC.cos. It matches the Rfam family "tRNA". From Rfam's summary of the family: Transfer RNA (tRNA) molecules are approximately 80 nucleotides in length. The record is from Rfam by way of RNAcentral. Lineage: Eukaryota; Fungi; Basidiomycota; Agaricomycetes; Agaricales; Agaricaceae.